GCGAAUAUAGAUUAAAGGCCAAAUCAUCUGCCUUCCAAGCAGAAAAUAUGGGUUCGAGUCCCAUUAUCCGCA
RNAcentral lists this transfer RNA (72 nucleotides) under Mesostigma viride. Its description in RNAcentral is "tRNA-Gly". It matches the Rfam family "tRNA". From Rfam's summary of the family: Transfer RNA (tRNA) molecules are approximately 80 nucleotides in length. Their secondary structure includes four short double-helical elements and three loops (D, anti-codon, and T loops). The record is from RNAcentral. Lineage: Eukaryota; Viridiplantae; Streptophyta; Mesostigmatophyceae; Mesostigmatales; Mesostigmataceae.